This 497-nucleotide ribosomal RNA is filed under the name uncultured bacterium. RNAcentral describes it as "partial 16S ribosomal RNA". It matches the Rfam family "Bacterial small subunit ribosomal RNA", at positions 28 to 507 of the family's 1533-position model. The record is from RNAcentral.
GAUGAACGCUGGCGGCGUGCCUAAUACAUGCAAGUCGAGCGAACGGACGAGAAGCUUGCUUCUCUGAUGUUAGCGGCGGACGGGUGAGUAACACGUGGAUAACCUACCUAUAAGACUGGGAUAACUUCGGGAAACCGGAGCUAAUACCGGAUAAUAUUUUGAACCGCAUGGUUCAAAAGUAAAAGACGGUCUUGCUGUCACUUAUAGAUGGAUCCGCGCUGCAUUAGCUAGUUGGUAAGGUAACGGCUUACCAAGGCAACGAUGCAUAGCCGACCUGAGAGGGUGAUCGGCCACACUGGAACUGAGACACGGUCCAGACUCCUACGGGAGGCAGCAGUAGGGAAUCUUCCGCAAUGGGCGAAAGCCUGACGGAGCAACGCCGCGUGAGUGAUGAAGGUCUUCGGAUCGUAAAACUCUGCUAUUAGGGAAGAACAUAUGUGUAAGUAACUGUGCACAUCUUGACGGUACCUAAUCAGAAAGCCACGGCUAACUACGUG